AUGCGCACGCGGUUAGGACUUUUUUAACGGAGGCGCUACAGCAAAUUGGGGCUACAACUAUUUUCUUAUUUUGAAGAAGUGCUUUUACUACCUAUUAGGCAUCUAAGUAUAAGGUGACACUUUCCUGAUGAGAAGGGAGCACCUGAGUUAGGUUGUAAAGGGUUCCUUUUCCUGUUCUUUCUCGGAGCUCAAACCAUACCCAGGUAAAAAUGUGGGAUUACAGCACGCAUAAGGCUGACGGUUAACCAGAUUACAAACUGAAUGGUAGUUUGUUUAGAUAUGCAAGUUCCUAGGGAAGCUGCUGUACACUUACAAUGUGUUUUGGUAUAGUAAAGUUUUAACUUAGGUACUCCCUAUCCAUGUAGUGUGGGUGCGCAUAGGACACUCAUUUAGGACUCCCCACACCCCCGCCCCGACUAGAUUUGCCAUAGGGCUAACGUGAGCAAAAUGUAAGGCAACAUUUUACACUAACACUGGACAAGGAAUACUUUUUCCUGGGAGCAAAACUUUGCAGCAAUGUCAACAUAAUAACAGGAAAGUUGAUAUUACUUGAAUUCCCAACCUCAGGUGAUCCGCCCGCCUUAGCCUCCAAAGGGCUUGGAUUACAGGCGUGAGUCACCACGCCCCGCCGGCGAGUUAAUAUUACUAAAAUAACAACAAGGCUUAAGAGUUCGCUUAAGAUUUUGGUUUACAUUUGCUUAUCCAGCGGCAUUUCCUUAAGCUCUGGCCGUGUGUUGACUAGUCAGCUUCCGGUUGUGUGACUAGAGCAGGACUCCACGGUUUUUCAGGGUUGUCUGCAUCUGGGACCGGACCGGGCUGGUUCUGGUCCUUGCUGAUGAUGCAUUUCAAGGCCCCUGGAUGAAGGGUACCAUGAAAACCAUUUUCCGAAGAGGGAGUCUGAUGACUACGCUUUUCAACUGUCCAGAAUCAAGACAUCGAAUUCAGGGGUACAUGUGCUAGUGAUACGUUUAAAGUGGAUUCAUCCUGGAACUCCCAUCUCACUACUCAGAUGGGAACUUGAAAGUGACACAGAGAGAAAUGCAAGUGGCAACAGGAUCCAGAAACCAAGAGACUCAUGGGAUAGAGGCAGCGGGUGGAAGCAGGAGACAGCAGAAGCCAAGACAAGUAGGAAAAGAAGGACAUUGAAGGGAGCCAGAAGGGGUCAUCUGAGAGAUGUCAAGAGUGGCAGCAGAAACAGACAGGGGCCUCCUGUGCCAAUGCCUUCUCUUAAGAGAUCAAGAUCAUGGCAUCUGUAGACUGAGAACAAAGUGUGAGGCUUGGAACUAAGUCCAUUCAAACUCUGCAUUUCUUUGUUAUGUCCCUUUCGACAGUAAUUUCCAUUUAGUUCCUCACAUCUCUUUCAUCAUGAGUUUCCAUUAGAGUCUAAUUGCAUCAAACUCUCUAAAACACUUUAACCAACAGAUCUAAUAUUUGCCAGCUUUGUGAUCUUGGGUAAGUCACAUAUCCUCCAUGAACAUCAGUUGUCUUAUCUCUAUGCGUGAUCCGCAAAAUAAUAGCCCUAAACAUGUUCGUAUUCUAAUUCUCAGAAUUUGAGACCUUACAUGUUACCUUACAUGGCAAAAGGGAUUUUUGCAGAUCUGAUUAAGUUACGAACCUUGAGAUGGGGUCCUCUAUUACAUAUGUGGGCCCAGUCUAAUCAUAUGGGUUCUUAAAAUCAGGGAGAAUUUUUCCCAGCUGUGGUCAAGGGGAGUUGUGACGAGGGAAGAAUGGUCAGAGAGACGCAGCACUGCUGGCUUUGAAGAUAGAGGAAGGGGCCAUGAACCAAGGAAUGCGGAUGGCCUCUAGAAGCAGGAAAAGGCAAGGAAGCAGAUUCUUCCCAACCCAGAGAGGAGGAACACAGCCCUGCCAACAUCCUAGCUUUAGCCCAGUGAAACCUGUGUUUUACCCUAUAGAACUGUAAUAUAUCAGAUUUGUGUUGUUUUAAGCUGUUAAAUUUGCAGUAACUUGUUAUAGCAGCAAUAGAAAACUAAGACACUCUGAUGGCUAACACUGCGUAUUAUGAGAAAGUGUCUAAAAGAAUAUAUUCUCCAACGUAACACUGGUUUUGUCAUCUUUUCGAAGUAUUUAUUUUUUCUGGUUUCAACAAUGACCGUAUGUUAUUUGUGUAAUACAGAAACUAUGGGAAUAUUAAUGAGUAAGUAAUAGAUACUGAAUUAAGUUAGAUGACCUCUAAGGCCCCACCUAACUGUGGCAUUAUCUGAGCAAUCCAGCGGGAGGCUUAAUUGCCAAUCCAUAUCCUGUUUCUUCUCAGAUGCCAUAGACAGGUCUUAACUCCUCCACAAAGGGACCGGAAAGAGCAGUUUCACAUCACUCCUGGUGUCUUAUUUUCCACGUCUCAGAUACAAAUCUGUGUUCACCUGUAUAUAAUAUCAGUGUGUUUCUACAUUUUUAUGUGUCCUUUUAUUUACUUAUUUUUUUACAAAUUAUAAUCAGAUAUAAUUAUGGAUGCACAGUGAUGUUAUAUGUAUACAACAUGGAAUGAGGGAAUCAAGCUAAUUAACAUGUCAUCCCCUUAAGUACUUGUCAUUUACUCCUCCUGUCUAACUCUUAACUUUCUACCCCUUCACCGCCACCUCCCCAUUCCCUGACCCGCAGCUCUGGUAACCAUCAUUUUAUUCUCUGUUAGUUAAAUUAUUCUAGAUUUCACGUAUGAGUGAGAGCAUGCAGUAUUUGUCUUUCUGUGCCUGGCUUACUUCCCUUAGCAUAGUGUCUUCUUCCAUGGUCAUCCCCAUUAUUGCAAAUUAUAGGAUUUCUUUCUUUUUAAAGGCUAACUAGUAUUCCGUUGUGUGUAUAUACCACAUUUUCUUUAUCUAUUCAUGCGCUGAUGGACACAUAGGAAAUUUUCACAUUUUAGCUAUUAUAAACAGAGUGAAGAUAUCUCUUCAACAUAAUUUCAAGCCCUUAGGAUAUGUACCCCGAAGUGGGACUGCUGGAUCUAUAUGUACUUAUUAAAAGAUUUUAUUCAUUGGUAGGUAAUGAUACCAGAUACAUACAUAUUCAGUAAAUAAUAAAUACAACAAAUAUGUGUGGUAUAUAUGUCAUGUAGUCCUCAGGUCAUUCAGAUGAUUAAUGUUUUAUAAAGUCUUCAUGGGUCCUGGUAUGGUGCAUUAUAACAGAUCUCAGGAUCAUGUUGCUAGAGUUCACAACACAGUGAAACCCUGUCUCUGCUAAAAUACAAAGAAUUAGCUGAGUGUGGCAGCAUGUGCCUGUAGUCCCAGCUACUUGGGAGGCUGAGGCAAACGAAUUACUUGAACCCAGGAGGCAGAGGUUGCAGUGAGCUGAGAUCACCCCACUGCACUCCAGCCUGGGUGACAGAGUGAGACUCUGUGUCCAAAACAAGCCUUGUCUAUCGAUACAGUCACCCAGCAGCCUCACCUAAACUCUAAAAAACCUCAUUCACAAGCCACUCAAUGUCAACAGGUGAAGGCUAUUAACUGAUACUAGAGUUAUCAAUACUAAUGAUAAGCACAGCAAAUGGAACCAUGCAGCUCCUUAGAAGAUACUUAUGAACCACUUAAACUUAAGAACUAGGCUUUAGUGAGUUAAAAAUGCAGAGUAUGCCCUGCAAUACCAGUUCCCACUUGAGCAAGAAUUUGUUUGUUCUUAUCAUAGCCAACCAUCUUCUGGACUUUGAAUGGCCCCAAACCUAAUUUGGCGUUUGCACAGGACAAUAGGUACUUUGCAUGACAUGGCUGGGGAAUAACGCACAGCUGUUUCCCAUCUAGGCCACUUUGAUCUGUCACUGAGCCAAAUACCUGAGCCUGUCCCCAGCCAAACUACACCCCAGAGGAAUGAAGGAAAUAGAGCAGAAUUUUAGAAGUAGAGAUUUCAGUACUUUUUAAAUCAUGUUUUUAUUCAUCAGAUAUUUGUUGGAUGCUGUAGAUGUGUUCUCAGAUGCUCAUAUGCAUGAGAUUUGCCUAGGAGAGUCCCACUACCCAGAUAAACCUAACUUGGCAACUUAGUGUGGGGCCCGGGCAUCUAUGUUUAACCAGCCUCAUAGGUAAUUC
RNAcentral lists this long non-coding RNA (4028 nucleotides) under Callithrix jacchus (white-tufted-ear marmoset). RNAcentral describes it as "lncRNA (ENSCJAG00000079531.1)". Lineage: Eukaryota; Metazoa; Chordata; Mammalia; Primates; Cebidae. The record is from RNAcentral.